RNAcentral lists this ribosomal RNA (254 nucleotides) under uncultured bacterium. RNAcentral describes it as "partial 16S ribosomal RNA". It matches the Rfam family "Bacterial small subunit ribosomal RNA", at positions 524 to 776 of the family's 1533-position model. The record is from RNAcentral.
UACGGGGGGAGCAAGCGUUGUUCGGAUUUACUGGGCGUAAAGGGCGCGUAGGCGGUCGUGACAAGUCGAGUGUGAAAGCCCCGGGCUCAACCUGGGAAUUGCGCUCGAUACUCUUGUGCUUGAGUUCGGGAGAGGAGCGUGGAAUUCCCAGUGUAGAGGUGAAAUUCGUAGAUAUUGGGAAGAACACCGGUGGCGAAGGCGGCGCUCUGGACCGAGACUGACGCUGAGGCGCGAAAGCGUGGGGAGCAAACAGG